Long non-coding RNA from Pipra filicauda (Wire-tailed manakin), 1077 nucleotides. RefSeq lists it as uncharacterized. The transcript is spliced from 3 exons. Lineage: Eukaryota; Metazoa; Chordata; Aves; Passeriformes; Pipridae. The record is from RefSeq and is a predicted model, not a curated record.
CUCCCCAGCCCUCUGUACUCUUCAUGCCCUGGUCACUUCCCACCCAACACAUGGGUUGAUGGCUUAAGGCCACACUGGUAGAUUUGGUAUUAAUGUUCUGCGCAGGAAAAAAUCCAACAAAAUGUAAUAAUCUGUGUCACAGAAAAAAAAAGUAGCUGCAUUUUUCCUAUCUUAUUUUUCUUUUUUGCAAGGACGGGCCAGUCAAAGACUCCACAGAGUAGAAGAGUAUGCUCAGUAGAAAGGCACAACUGUUGCCUAUGUAACGUUAAACUAUCAAGUAGAAACAACGUAUUUUGCUUGGUGAUUGUGUUCCCUCCCACUCUCACACAAGCCAAGAGCAGUCUCUUGUGUUUACAGCCAGGGAAUGGGAGACAAGCACUGGGCUAGUCUUGGCUCAGCCCAGUUUUUGUUUGUGUUGGACACAUGAUGACACUCCCCUCAUCAGAUCCAAGCAAGUCCCACUUCCUGGUAGGAUUCGUGUGAGUGGAGCUUCCAACUGCGGCCUUACCUUCGCUUUAGGAGAAGCAGCGAGAUGAGGAUUCAGCAGAGAGCAAAUUGCCGAGCUCUCAGCAGGAGCAGUGGAAUAACAUUCUACCUGCAAGUGCUCAUUCCCAUGCGAGGUGCCAAACCCCUGCAAUGGCUGCCUGGCUGCCUCUGUGCUGUUCCCAGACCUUACACAUGAUGCAUUUUCACUUGCCCGUUUCUCUGCUGAAAAAAAAUAAUAAUAAUGAAAAAAAAAUCGAGGUGUGGAGUUCAUUUAGAAUGAGGGAAAAUAUCAGUGGGAAAACAAACCCCAGCGGACACUGGAGGGAGUUGGUCAAGUUUGUAAAAUGCAUUUGAGAGCUCAGUCCCAUGUGAAAUGUGGAAAAGCUAUCAGGAGCCAUAAAGCCAGCAAGGAUGGGUUUGGUCUGGUUACAGUGCCAAAGGAUUUUGCUUCCCAAAUGAGUAUUCCUAUUCCUGAGGUGCAAUUAAAUGCAAACCAGGUCCUAAUGGGUGCUGUGUCUGCAGUGGGGUGAAGGGCUCGUCUGCAGUCCUCCCUCCUUCUGCAAGGAGCUGGAGUGGGAGAUAAGAGCAGCU